AUUGAACGCUGGCGGCAUGCUUUACACAUGCAAGUCGAACGGUAACAGGCCGCAAGGUGCUGACGAGUGGCGAACGGGUGAGUAAUGCAUCGGAACGUGCCCAGUCGUGGGGGAUAACUACUCGAAAGAGUAGCUAAUACCGCAUACGAUCUAUGGAUGAAAGCGGGGGACCGUAAGGCCUCGCGCGAUUGGAGCGGCCGAUGUCAGAUUAGGUAGUUGGUGGGGUAAAGGCUCACCAAGCCAACGAUCUGUAGCUGGUCUGAGAGGACGACCAGCCACACUGGGACUGAGACACGGCCCAGACUCCUACGGGAGGCAGCAGUGGGGAAUUUUGGACAAUGGGCGCAAGCCUGAUCCAGCAAUGCCGCGUGCAGGAAGAAGGCCUUCGGGUUGUAAACUGCUUUUGUACGGAACGAAACGGCUCUGGUUAAUACCCGGGGCUAAUCACGGUACCGUAAGAAUAAGCACCGGCUAACUACGUG
RNAcentral lists this ribosomal RNA (482 nucleotides) under uncultured bacterium. RNAcentral's name for it is "partial 16S ribosomal RNA". It matches the Rfam family "Bacterial small subunit ribosomal RNA", at positions 30 to 507 of the family's 1533-position model. The record is from RNAcentral.